RNAcentral lists this long non-coding RNA (2470 nucleotides) under Equus asinus (donkey). RNAcentral describes it as "lncRNA (ENSEASG00005030042.1)". The record is from RNAcentral. Lineage: Eukaryota; Metazoa; Chordata; Mammalia; Perissodactyla; Equidae.
CCUACCACAGCACGGCUUUUGCCAAGUGGUGCCAUGUCCGCACCCGGCAUCCGAACCGGAACCCCGGGGCCGCCGAGAAGCAGAAGUGAGGGCUUAACCACUCAGCCAUCGGGCCGGACCCUGAGGAAAGCGUUCUCAAGGCUACAAUAACUGUGCGGGGAGCCUGGCCCAGGAUUUGCUGAUACCAGAAAGGAUAGUUACUGGAAGAGACAGACCCAGAGCUAAGGCCACAGUUUUCCUGACACUUCAGAAACAUGGAAUGAAAAAUUGGGAGUAGACGCUCUAUGAAGCAGAAGCACUUCCGAAUGUCAUUUGUAUAUGUGCGAGUUACUUUAAAACUUAAAACCGUCAUGGAACAAGACUCUGAGCAGGCCCAGGUUUUUGUCCCAAAUUCCCCAUCUCUGUGUGUCACUGUGAGAGACACUACUGUGCCAGAUCUGAUGGUAAGAGUCAGCCUCGUCCUCAGGCUGGAGCCCAGAGAUAAGCAAAAAGCCUGCAUUGGCCGAGGCAUCUUUGGAUCCAGAGAAGCAGCUGGGAUCUGCUGAUCCCAAUCACAUGCUUGAGUCUGAGUAGCAGCACAGACUGGGAUAGCUGGCCACACUGACGCCCCUGCUCAGGGUGCAGACAUCUGUGUUUCCUGAAGAUGCGUGGAUCUGUUUGAGAACUGAGCUCACGAUGUGACUGCUGCGUGGCGCUUGAACAGCCCAUCGUGAGCCCACUGCGCGCACAGGCCUCCUCCUGGGCAGAGCAUCCGUGUGCAUUCUGUGUCAGAUGGUCGCCUGCGGUCUCUGCGGGCCAUGUGGUUAAUGAAGACGGCGCUGUGUGUGCAGGGAGAAGGGGCUGCACUCAAGCUCCACCCGAGCCUGGUUCCCAGCGGAGCGGCCUCUGCUGAGGCGUCAGAAGACACACGCUGGGCCUGGGGCUUUACUGAAGAGGUGACUGAGUGUGAGACAUGCACAGAAAUGAGACUCUAUAGACGGUCCUGGAAAAGAGUGUCAGCCCUGAGGCUUCAGUGCCUGUCACAGGCAGAUUCCACAGGACGUCCUGAUCUUAUGGUCCUCACGUGGGAAGGUGGCCUCACGCUGCUGGUUGCCUCUGAGAGGAAUGUUGUUCCUGAAGAAAGGUUUUCUGCUGAGUUGAGCUGAACAGGCUGAGUGUGUGAUUUUGGCAAUAGCUGAAUCUAAAGUUUCUUAGUGUCAGUGAUCUGUGGAAGGGCCUCAGAGCCUCUGCUGCUCAUCACUUUUGAAAAACAACACAGCACAUGAAAAGAGGCUCAACACCAGGGGGCAUAAGGGAAAUGCCCGUCAAAAUGCACUGAGGUAUCACACCCUCCAGACUAGAAGGGCUAUGAUAACAAUGAGAGACAAUAACAAUUGUUGGGGAAGAUGUGUGGGAACCAGAACAUGCAGAUGGUGUUGGUGGAAAUGUAAACCAGUGCGACCAUAUUGGAAAGGAUCUGACGGCUCCUCAGCACUGUAAUGUAAAGCAACACACGUCUCAGUAAUCCCCCUCCUGGGCGCCUCCCCGGCAAAUGAAGACACAUAUUCACCAAAACCAAAGCAAACAAGACUUGUACCUGAAUGUUCCUAGCAGCAUCAUUCAUACUAGCGAAAGAUGACAAACAACUCAAAUGCCCAUCAACAGGUGAAUGCAUAAACAAAUGGUGGUUUGCUCACACAAUGGAGUAUUAUUUGGAGAUUAAAAAUGGACUACUUUGCCAUGCCAUAGCAUAGAUGGACAUCAAAACUCUUAUGCAAAAGAAAUAAGUGAAAUAAGGUGGUCACAAAGGGCCACAUAUUUUCUUGGCUCCAGCUACAUGAAAUGUCCAGAAUAGGGGAAUGUAUGAAGACAGAGAGUGGAUGGGCGGUUCCCUAAGGCUGAGCAGAGAGUCAGGAAGAGUGAUCUCAAAUGGGUGGGGACGUUCUCUGAGGGAGGAUGGAAAUGAUCUAUAAUUAGAUUACAGUGACAGUUACACAGCCCUGUAAAUAUGCUGAGCACUACUGUAGACAUUACACUGGGGAGCUUUAUGACGUGCAGACUACAUCUCAAUAAAAUUAUAAACAAUGUGAGAGGGAGCUUCUGCCACUGACUCUUUAAAGUUGGUCUGUGUUCAGAGUCAGACCCUCAGAUGUUGACACUCUAGGAUGGGCCACAGUCAACCCUCUCUGUUUGUAAGAGGCAGUGUGGAGGUGAUCACAGGGAACAGGGCAUGUUUUGGUCUCGGUUCCCCAUGGGUCCGGAGCACUGUGUUAUUGCUGAUGCUAUUGUCCCAUGCUGAACAGUAAUAAUCAGCCUCAUCCUCAGGCUGGAGCCCAGAGAUGGUCAGAUAGGCCGUGUUGCCGGACUUGGAGCUAGAGAACCGAGCUGGGAUCCCUGAGGGCCAAGAACUUCUGAGCAUCACAGUUUUGGGGGCACCGUGAGAAAUUUGGUACCAGCCCACAUCAAAUAUUCCAACGUUGUUGCUAUUUCC